Molecule: unclassified non-coding RNA, 258 nt
Filed under: Hevea brasiliensis (rubber tree)
Lineage: Eukaryota; Viridiplantae; Streptophyta; Magnoliopsida; Malpighiales; Euphorbiaceae
Source: RNAcentral
ACCCCACCUAUCUGUUCCUUAUAAAGGAAACGACAAUAUCCAGUCCUCAGCCCCAAAAGCUGCUGAACAUGGUCCUGUUGCUCCAUCACCUACUUCUGCUUUACCUAAGCCUGUGGGUCAUAAUGGUCCCAAAGCUGCACCAGCUCUGCAAAAAAAGGUGGCGAGCUUAGAACUUUUGAAGGUAGAAUUGCGCAAGAAGCAGGAGCUGCUUGAUCAGAAGCGCAGUGAGUUCCGACGUCAGUUGAAUAAACUUGAGAA